GCGCUUACUGCAGCAGCACAUAUACAAAGAUUGGAACAAUACAGGAAAGAAUAUCAUGGCCCGUGUGCAAGGAUGCAAUGCAAAUUCAAUGUGUUCCAUAUUUUA
Molecule: small nuclear RNA, 105 nt
Organism: Acomys russatus (golden spiny mouse)
Lineage: Eukaryota; Metazoa; Chordata; Mammalia; Rodentia; Muridae
Source: RefSeq, a predicted model, not a curated record